This is a non-coding RNA of Drosophila takahashii, 538 nucleotides long. The record is from RefSeq and is a predicted model, not a curated record. Lineage: Eukaryota; Metazoa; Arthropoda; Insecta; Diptera; Drosophilidae.
UCCGAUUGGCCAACCGCGACGUACAAAUUUGGACCGCCCUAAUGUUCAUAUGCAAAAAAAUGAUGUAAGCCUUUUAAAAAUUGGCGUAUAAUUUAUUAUAAUUGUUCCGAUUGGCCAACCGCGACGUACAAAUUUGGACCGCCCUAAUGUUCAUAUGCAAAAAAAUGAUGUAAGCCUUUUAAAAAUUGGCGUAUAAUUUAUUAUAAUUGUUCCGAUUGGCCAACCGCGACGUACAAAUUUGGACCGCCCUAAUGUUCAUAUGCAAAAAAAUGAUGUAAGCCUUUUAAAAAUUGGCGUAUAAUUUAUUAUAAUUGUUCCGAUUGGCCAACCGCGACGUACAAAUUUGGACCGCCCUAAUGUUCAUAUGCAAAAAAAUGAUGUAAGCCUUUUAAAAAUUGGCGUAUAAUUUAUUAUAAUUGUUCCGAUUGGCCAACCGCGACGUACAAAUUUGGACCGCCCUAAUGUUCAUAUGCAAAAAAAUGAUGUAAGCCUUUUAAAAAUUGGGUAAGUCUUCUUCACAUUCUUAGAAUAUGUAUUU